GACGAACGCUGGCGGCGUGCUUAACACAUGCAAGUCGAACGGAAAGGCCCUGCUUUUGUGGGGUGCUCGAGUGGCGAACGGGUGAGUAACACGUGAGUAACCUGCCCUUGACUUUGGGAUAACUUCAGGAAACUGGGGCUAAUACCGGAUAGGAGCUCCUGCUGCAUGGUGGGGGGUGGAAAGUUUCGGCGGUUGGGGAUGGACUCGCGGCUUAUCAGUUUGUUGGUGGGGGAGUGGCUUACCAAGGCUUUGACGGGUAGCCGGCCUGAGAGGGUGACCGGCCACAUUGGGACUGAGAUACGGCCCAGACUCCUACGGGAGGCAGCAGUGGGGAAUAUUGCACAAUGGGCGGAAGCCUGAUGCAGCAACGCCGCGUGCGGGAUGACGGCCUUCGGGUUGUAAACCGCUUUCGCCUGUGACGAAGCGUGAGUGACGGUAAUGGGUAAAGAAGCACCGGCUAACUACGUG
RNAcentral lists this ribosomal RNA (468 nucleotides) under uncultured bacterium. RNAcentral describes it as "partial 16S ribosomal RNA". It matches the Rfam family "Bacterial small subunit ribosomal RNA", at positions 28 to 507 of the family's 1533-position model. The record is from RNAcentral.